GAUCAUGGCUCAGGAUGAACGCUAGCUACAGGCUUAACACAUGCAAGUCGAGGGGCAGCAUGGUCUUAGCUUGCUAAGGCCGAUGGCGACCGGCGCACGGGUGAGUAACACGUAUCAACCUGCCUCUACUCUUGGACAGCCUUCUGAAAGGAAGAUUAAUACAAGAUGGCAUCAUGNGUUCACAUGUUCACAUGAUUAAAGGUAUUCCGGUAGACGAUGGGG
This 222-nucleotide ribosomal RNA is filed under the name uncultured bacterium. RNAcentral describes it as "partial 16S ribosomal RNA". It matches the Rfam family "Bacterial small subunit ribosomal RNA", at positions 15 to 230 of the family's 1533-position model. The record is from RNAcentral.